This 253-nucleotide ribosomal RNA is filed under the name uncultured bacterium. Its description in RNAcentral is "partial 16S ribosomal RNA". It matches the Rfam family "Bacterial small subunit ribosomal RNA", at positions 524 to 776 of the family's 1533-position model. The record is from RNAcentral.
UACGUAGGGGGCUAGCGUUGUUCGGAAUUACUGGGCGUAAAGCGCUCGUAGGCGGCUUUGUAAGUUAGAGGUGAAAGCCCGGAGCUUAACUCCGGAACUGCCUUUAAGACUGCAUCGCUAGAAUCGUGGAGAGGUGAGUGGAAUUCCGAGUGUAGAGGUGAAAUUCGUAGAUAUUCGGAAGAACACCAGUGGCGAAGGCGACUCACUGGACACGUAUUGACGCUGAGGCGCGAAAGCGUGGGGAGCAAACAGG